AACGUAGGAGACAAACGUUAUCCGGAGUUACUGGGCGUAAAGGGCGUGUAGGUGGUAUCGUAAGUCUGGCGUGAAAUUUCUCGGCUUAACCGAGGCAGGUCGUCGGAUACUGCGAGGCUAGAGGACGGUAGAGGCGUGUGGAAUUCCGGGUGUAGUGGUGAAAUGCGUAGAGAUCCGGAGGAACACCGGUGGCGAAGGCGGCGCUCUGGACCGAGACUGACGCUGAGGCGCGAAAGCGUGGGGAGCAAACAGG
RNAcentral lists this ribosomal RNA (253 nucleotides) under uncultured bacterium. Its description in RNAcentral is "partial 16S ribosomal RNA". It matches the Rfam family "Bacterial small subunit ribosomal RNA", at positions 524 to 776 of the family's 1533-position model. The record is from RNAcentral.